Molecule: ribosomal RNA, 413 nt
Filed under: Rhizophagus prolifer
Lineage: Eukaryota; Fungi; Glomeromycota; Glomeromycetes; Glomerales; Glomeraceae
Description: partial large subunit ribosomal RNA
Source: RNAcentral
AGAGUUAAACAGUACGUGAAAUUGUUGAAAGGGAAACGAUUGAAGCCAGUCGUACCGGCGGAUAAUCAGCCUUUCGGGUGCGAUUCUGUGGAGUGUGAGGAGGUAAACACCUUCAUGCCUGCAUAUUCGUGCACUUUGGGUGUACUUGUCCGUAUGGUAAGUUAACAUCAAUUUUGGUCGUUAUAAAAUGGCUGGAGGAAUGUAGCUUUGAUCUCGUAUUGAAGUGUUAUAGCCUUUGGUAGAUGUAAUGAUUAGGAUUGAGGAUUGCAACGGAUACCUUUCGGGGCUACCCGCCUGAUCUCUGAAAGUUGCUCUGGUGUCGAAAGCUUGCUUACGGUCAUCAAAGUUGACGUUCAAUAGGUUAGAACGGGUUAAAUUCGUUAAGGAUGUUGACGUAAUGGCUUUAAACGACC